This 453-nucleotide ribosomal RNA is filed under the name uncultured bacterium. RNAcentral's name for it is "bacterial SSU rRNA". It matches the Rfam family "Bacterial small subunit ribosomal RNA", at positions 340 to 786 of the family's 1533-position model. The record is from RNAcentral.
UACGGAAGGCAGCAGUGGGGAAUAUUGCACAAUGGGCGCAAGCCUGAUGCAGCCAUGCCGCGUGUAUGAAGAAGGCCUUCGGGUUGUAAAGUACUUUCAGUCGUGAGGAAGGUGUUAAGGUUAAUAACCUUAGCAAUUGACGUUAGCGACAGAAGAAGCGCCGGCUAACUCCGUGCCAGCAGCCGCGGUAAUACGGAGGGUGCGAGCGUUAAUCGGAAUUACUGGGCGUAAAGGGCACGCAGGCGGUUAAUUAAGUUGGAUGUGAAAUCCCCGGGCUUAACCUGGGAAUGGCAUUCAAGACUGGUUAGCUAGAGUCUUGUAGAGGGGGUAGAAUUCCAUGUGUAGCGGUGAAAUGCGUAGAGAUGUGGAGGAAUACCGGUGGCGAAGGCGGCCCCUGGACAAAGGCUGACGCUCAUGUGCGAAAGCGUGGGGAGCAAACAGGGAUUAGAUACC